GAUGAAGAACGCAGCGAAAUGCGAUAAGUAAUGUGAAUUGCAGAAUUCAGUGAAUCAUCGAAUCUUUGAACGCAUAUUGCGCUCUCUGGUAUUCCGGAGAGCAUGCUUGUUUGAGUAUCAGUAAACACCUCAACUUCCAUAUCUUUUUUUGAAAUGGGAGUUGGACUUGAGUGAUCCCAACGCUUUUCCUCACCGAAAAGUGGCGGGUUACUUGAAAUGCAGGUGCAGCUGGACUUUUCUCUGAGCUAUAAGCAUAUCUAUUUAGUCUGCCUAAAAAACAGAUUAUUACCUUUGCUGCAGCUAACAUAAAGGAGAUUAGUUCUUGUGCUGACUGAUGCAGGAUUCACAAAGACAGCUUCGGCCGACUUUGUAAACUCGAUCUCAAAUCAAGUAAGACUACCCGCUGAACUUAAGCAUAUCAAUAAGCGGAGGA
RNAcentral lists this unclassified non-coding RNA (433 nucleotides) under soil metagenome. RNAcentral's name for it is "partial contains 5.8S ribosomal RNA, internal transcribed spacer 2, and large subunit ribosomal RNA". The stretch from base 1 to 120 matches the Rfam family "5.8S ribosomal RNA", at positions 35 to 154 of the family's 154-position model. The record is from RNAcentral.